CAGCAGCCGCGGUAAUACGGAGGGGGCUAGCGUUGUUCGGAAUUACCGGGCGCAAAGCGUACGUAGGCGGCUUUGUAAGUUAGAGGUGAAAGCCUGGAGCUCAACUCCAGAAUUGCCUUUAAGACUGCAUCGCUUGAACGUCGGAGAGGUGAGUGGAAUUCCGAGUGUAGAGGUGAAAUUCGUAGAUAUUCGGAAGAACACCAGUAGCGAAGGCGGCUCACUGGACGACUGUUGACGCUGAGGUACGAAAGCGUGGGGAGCAAACAGGAUUAGAUACCCCCGUAGUCCCUGUCUCUUAUAC
Molecule: ribosomal RNA, 301 nt
Filed under: uncultured bacterium
Lineage: Bacteria
Description: partial 16S ribosomal RNA
Rfam family: Bacterial small subunit ribosomal RNA
Source: RNAcentral